UGAGCAAUCUGCCCUUCUCUUUGGAAUAAGCGUUGGAAACGACGUCUAAUGCCGAAUACGACCUCCUUUCGCAUGAUCGGAGGUGGAAAGCUCCGGCGGAGAAGGAUGAGCUCGCGGCCUAUCAGCUAGUUGGUGUGGGUAAUGGCCCACCAAGGCGACGACGGGUAGCCGGCCUGAGAGGGUGACCGGCCACACUGGGACUGAGACACGGCCCAGACUCCUACGGGAGGNAGG
RNAcentral lists this ribosomal RNA (234 nucleotides) under uncultured bacterium. Its description in RNAcentral is "partial 16S ribosomal RNA". It matches the Rfam family "Bacterial small subunit ribosomal RNA", at positions 118 to 351 of the family's 1533-position model. The record is from RNAcentral.